CGGGGCCGCAUCUCAUCAUCGUUCUUUGAUGCACUUUGGAAACUGUGUAGGAAGGUUGUGCUUUAUUGUUCUUAUCACAAAUAUUUUUCAGUUUUAGUCUAGAAGGGCCAACUGCUGACUCCAUUUAGCUUUCACUGUGAGCAGAAGCCUUCCAAUCAAAGCUUUCUUGUCAUGUCUGACUGUGACCAAGGUUUGAUAAGAUGAACUUGGUUUCAUUAAGAAUAAAGCAGGAAGUAAAAUCUGUAGGGAGCUACUAGGGCCUUUCUAUUUUGAUCAAAGGGGAUCUCAGGUACAAUGAUUAUACCUUUCUAAACCUAGUAUAUGAAGUUGGAUAUUUUCAUACUUAUACUUUUUGUGUGCUGGGUAUUUAUUUUACAGCUCAUCCUAUUAAUGUAAGAAACACAAACAGAAACAUCAGGAAGUUGACUUAAAGAAGGAAGAACAGAAAUACAUGGCUCCAAGGCUAAGUCUGACAUUUGUUAGCUGCGGAACAGAGGUAGGGUGAUGAUGGCUACGAUUUUUUUUUUAAGAUUUUAUUUAUUUAUUUGACAGAGACAGCGAGAGAGGGAACACAAGCAGAGGGAGUGGGAGAGGAAGAAGCAGGCUCCCAGCAGAGAAGCCUGAUGCGGGGCUCGAUCCCAGAACGCAGGGAUCACGCCCUGAGCCGAAGGCAGACGCUUAACGACUGAGCCACCCAGAAGCCCCGUGAUGGCUAGGAUUCUUAACUCCUCUGUUAGUUUGCGAUAAUAAAGCAGAAUAAAUGUGAGGAUUAAAGAUGGUCCAUGUAAGGUGACUACCACAUAAAUAACAGUGGUCAUUAUCAGUUUUUUUUAAGGGAUAAUGGUUUGGCUUGUCAAGAAAGCAUGCCAAAGAAAGACAUGGAUUUCCUGAGUACAGAUGAGGAGAAUAUUGGAGAAAAAGGUCCUCAAACAGAUGACACAGUGAUAAGGAGAAAUGGACGGAAGUGGAAACUUUGCAUAUCAAGACUCAACCUGAAGAGCAUUCACGGAGGAAAUGAAGAGAGCCAACACGAAAGCCGGAUUUGGAGAGGAUCCAUGGUGUUUUAUAUUAUGACCAUUUUUUUAAGCAAAAAUCACAGCUGUAAUGAUUAAAUCACCCAGCGUCCCAUGCAGCUAGGUGAACAGUUACCCACCACUGUAGAUCCCUCUCAAUUAAUUACACGCAGAUUGCCAGUUCUGUCAAUAGCUCAAGAUAGCACUUUGAUCUCCUGUUGCU
Molecule: long non-coding RNA, 1236 nt
Filed under: Ursus americanus (American black bear)
Lineage: Eukaryota; Metazoa; Chordata; Mammalia; Carnivora; Ursidae
Description: lncRNA (ENSUAMG00000005680.1)
Source: RNAcentral